Molecule: long non-coding RNA, 349 nt
Organism: Poecilia latipinna (sailfin molly)
Lineage: Eukaryota; Metazoa; Chordata; Actinopteri; Cyprinodontiformes; Poeciliidae
Exons: 2
Source: RefSeq, a predicted model, not a curated record
AAAGUCCCAAUCAACCAGGAGGACGAUCCCGUCAAACUGCUAGGUGACCGUGUGGCUGCCAGUCAUGACAUGGCCAACGGGCGCUUGCUGCUGUGGAAGAGGCGUUCAGGGUGUCCUGGCCGACGGAAUGAUGACAAAGUUCAUCCAAGAACUGGAGACAGGAAACUUGCGACCGGUGCCAGCGAGUCGUCUAUGGAAACAUAAAACUCAGAGAGAGACAGACACAUGGAGAGAGUGAUGGGUUAAUGCAGUCUGACAGAGGACCGCUGCUGAUCACCAGCACUGAUGUACUAGCUCUACUACCACAAUGAACCAUGAAUAAAGAAAGAAGAAAACGUUUUAAACCAAA